RNAcentral lists this transfer RNA (72 nucleotides) under Bos taurus (domestic cattle). It matches the Rfam family "tRNA". Rfam says of the family: Transfer RNA (tRNA) molecules are approximately 80 nucleotides in length. Their secondary structure includes four short double-helical elements and three loops (D, anti-codon, and T loops). The record is from Rfam by way of RNAcentral. RNAcentral also lists the same sequence under 5 other names. Lineage: Eukaryota; Metazoa; Chordata; Mammalia; Artiodactyla; Bovidae.
UCCCUGGUGGCUCAGCUGGUAAAGAAUCUGCCUGCAAUGCAGGAGGCCCUGGGUCGAUUCCUGGGUUGGGAA